AACGCACAUUGCGCCCCUUGGCAUUCCGGGGGGCAUGCCUGUUCGAGCGUCAUUAAAACCUUCAAGCACCGCUUGGUAUUAGGCCGCCGUCCGCCCCUCGCCGGGCGGGCCGGUCUCAAAUGCCUCGGCGGAGUCGAGCGGGCUCCGGGCGUGGUAGAGCACAUCGCGACGCCCAACGGAGCCCUUCGGCCCCCGCCGACGGAAACCUCUCUCACUGGUUGACCUCGGAUCAGGUAGGAAUACCCGCUGAACUUAA
RNAcentral lists this unclassified non-coding RNA (256 nucleotides) under uncultured fungus. RNAcentral's name for it is "partial contains 5.8S ribosomal RNA, internal transcribed spacer 2, and large subunit ribosomal RNA". Lineage: Eukaryota; Fungi. The record is from RNAcentral.